GAGAUUCUGUCAGCUCUGGCCUGAAUUUGUCAGAGACUCAUUUGGUGUUUCAUUUGAAAUAUUUAUGCUUUCAGUUUUGAUCAAUUGCGAAAACAACAAUUAGGCUAACACAAUGUCCGACCUUUGUUGUUCUUCCACUGGAAAUGUUUCAUUGAUGCUGUUUAGUGUUUUAUUUUUUAUUUUACCGUUAUUUUUUUUACACAUUCUCAUUUACUGCAACGACCUGGGGAACUGUUUCAGGGGAGAGGAGGGGUAUGAAUGAGCUAAUUGUAAGCUGUGGAUGAUUCGAUGACGGUGAUGGUAUGAGGACCAGUAACAGUCUGGAAUGGUUUUGCUCAACGUGUUUUCAUCCAGUUAAACUACUAGUUGAUGGAGAGGCGAGUGAGUUCGGUUUGAUAGAAUGUAGUCGUAACUUUGGCGACUUGAGACGUGUUGGCAGUAUGUCAGGCCAGGUACAUGAAGAUCAUCUCUUGACAGCUCCAUCAGUUACCAUCUCUGGUCAGCUGUACAUGAUCCCUUGUUAACAGAUUGACAUGAGAGGCUAAAACAAUCACAUCCCACUUAACUCACAGGACCAUGAAAGCAGAGCUGCCAGAGAUCACUCAGCAUGCACACUACUGGUCAACAUUUUCAGAACACCUCAUUCAAGAGUUACUUAUUUUUACUAUUUUCUACAUUGUAGAAUAAUAGUGAAGACAUCAACUAUGAAAUAACACAUAUGGAAUCAUGUAGUAACCAAAAAAGUGUUGAACAAAUCAGAAAUAUUUUAUAUUAGAUUCUUCAAAUAGCCCCCCUUUGCCUUGACAGCUUUGCACACUCUUGGCAUUCUCUCAACCAGCUUCACCUGGAAUGCUUUUCCAACUGUCUUGAAGGAGUUCCCACAUAUGCUGAGCACUUGUUGGCUGCUUUUCCUUCACUCUGCGGUCCGACUCAUCUCAAACCAUCUGAAUUUGGUUGAGGUUGGGAUUGUGGAGGCCAUGUCAUCUGAUGCAGUACUCCAUCACUCUCCUUUUUGGUCAAAUAGCCCUUACACCGCCUGGAGGUGUGUUGGGUCAUUGUCCUGCUGAAAAACAAAUGAUAGACCCACUAAACCCAAACCAGAUUGGAUGGUGUAUCGUGGCAGAAUGCUGUGGUAGCCAUGCUGGUUAAGUGUGCCUUGAAAUCUAAAUAAAUCACAGUGUCACCAGCAAAGCACACCCACACCUUAACUUCCUCCUCCAUGUUUUACGGUGGGAAAUACACAUGCGGAGAUCAUCCGUUCACCCACACCGUGUCUCACACAGACAAAAAUCUCAAAUUUGGACUCAUCAGGCCAAAGGACACAUUUCCACAGGUCUAAUGUCCAUUGCUUGUGUUUCUUGGCCUAAGCAAGUCUCUUCUUCUUAUUGGUGUCUCUUAGUAGUGGUUUCUUUGCAGCAAUUCGACCAUGAAGGCCUGAUUCACGCAGUCUCCUCUGAACAGUUGAUGUUGAGACGUGUCUGUUACUCUGUGAAGCAUUUAUUUGUGCUGCAAUUUCUGAGCCUUGUAACUCUCUAAUGAACUUAUCCUCUGCAGCAGAGGUAACUCUGGGUCUUCCAUUCCUGUGGCAGUCCUUGAUGGUUUUUGCGACUGCACUUGAAGGAACUUUCAAAGUUCUUGAAAUGUUCCGUAUUGACUGAUCUUUACUUAUUUGAGCUGUUCUUGCUAUAAUAUGGACUUGGUCUUUUACCAAAUGGGGCUAUCUUCUGUAUACCCUCCCUAGCUUGUCACAACACAACUGAUUGGCUCAAACGCAUUAAAAAGGAAAGAAAUUUCACAAAUUAACUUCUAACAAGGCACACCUGUUAAUUGAAAUGCAAUCCAGGUGACUACCUCAUGAAACUGAUUUAGAGAAUGCAAAGCUGUCAUCAUGGCAAAGGGUGGCUAUUUGAAGAAUCUCCAAUAUUAAAUAUAUUUUGAUUUGUUUC
RNAcentral lists this long non-coding RNA (1946 nucleotides) under Salmo salar (Atlantic salmon). RNAcentral's name for it is "lncRNA (ENSSSAG00000099242.1)". Lineage: Eukaryota; Metazoa; Chordata; Actinopteri; Salmoniformes; Salmonidae. The record is from RNAcentral.